CGCUAGCGGCAGCCUAACACAUGCAAGUCGAACGGUAACUUUUGGUGCUUGCACCGAAAGACGAGUGGCGAACGGGUGCGUAACGCGUAUGCAAUCUGCCUUUUACUAGGGUAUAGCCCAGAGAAAUUUGGAUUAAUCCCCUAUAAUAUCAUUUUUCCGCAUGGUUAAAUGAUUAAAGCUUCGGCGGUAAAAGAUGAGCAUGCGUCUUAUUAGUUUGUAGGUGAGGUAACGGCUCACCUAGACUACGAUAGGUAGGGGCCCUGAGAGGGGGACCCCCCACACUGGUACUGAGACACGGACCAGACUCCUACGGGAGGCAGCAGUGAGGAAUAUUGGACAAUGGACGAAAGUCUGAUCCAGCUAUGCCGCGUGCAGGAUGACGGCCCUACGGGUUGUAAACUGCUUUUAUACAGGAAGAAAUACCCCGACGUGUCGGGGCUUGACGGUACUGUAAGAAUAAGGAUCGGCUAACUCCGUGCCAGCAGCCGCGGUAAUACGGAGGAUUCGAGCGUUAUCCGGAAUCAUUGGGUUUAAAGGGUCCGUAGGCGGUUUUUUAAGUCAGAGGUGAAAUCCUGCAGCUCAACUGUAGAAUUGCCUUUGAAACUGAAAGACUUGAGUUAUUGUGAAGUGGUUAGAAUGUGUGGUGUAGCGGUGAAAUGCAUAGAUAUCACACAGAAUACCAAUUGCGAAGGCAGAUCACUAACAAUAUACUGACGCUCAGGGACGAAAGCGUGGGUAGCGAACAGGAUUAGAUACCCUGGUAGUCCACGCCGUAAACGAUGGAUACUAGCUGUAUGUCUACCUCAGGUAGAUGUGUGGCCAAGCGAAAGUGAUAAGUAUCCCACC
Molecule: ribosomal RNA, 846 nt
Filed under: uncultured Flavobacteriaceae bacterium
Lineage: Bacteria; Pseudomonadati; Bacteroidota; Flavobacteriia; Flavobacteriales; Flavobacteriaceae
Description: bacterial SSU rRNA
Rfam family: Bacterial small subunit ribosomal RNA
Source: RNAcentral